ACAUGCAAGUCGAACGCCCCGCAAGGGGAGUGGCAGACGGGUGAGUAACACGUGGGAACGUACCCUUUUCUACGGAAUAACCCAGGGAAACUUGGACUAAUACCGUAUGUGCCCUUCGGGGGAAAGAUUUAUCGGAAAAGGAUCGGCCCGCGUUGGAUUAGCUAGUUGGUGGGGUAAAGGCCUACCAAGGCGACGAUCCAUAGCUGGUCUGAGAGGAUGAUCAGCCACAUUGGGACUGAGACACGGCCCAAACUCCUACGGGAGGCAGCAGUGGGGAAUAUUGGACAAUGGGCGCAAGCCUGAUCCAGCCAUGCCGCGUGAGUGAUGAAGGCCUUAGGGUUGUAAAGCUCUUUCACCGGAGAAGAUAAUGACGGUAUCCGGAGAAGAAGCCCCGGCUAACUUCGUGCCAGCAGCCGCGGUAAUACGAAGGGGGCUAGCGUUGUUCGGAUUUACUGGGCGUAAAGCGCACGUAGGCGGAUCGAUCAGUCAGGGGUGAAAUCCCAGAGCUCAACUCUGGAACUGCCUUUGAUACUGUCGAUCUGGAGUAUGGAAGAGGUGAGUGGAAUUCCGAGUGUAGAGCUGAAAUUCGUAGAUAUUCGGAG
RNAcentral lists this ribosomal RNA (602 nucleotides) under Rhizobium sp. E90. RNAcentral's name for it is "bacterial SSU rRNA". It matches the Rfam family "Bacterial small subunit ribosomal RNA", at positions 53 to 703 of the family's 1533-position model. Lineage: Bacteria; Pseudomonadati; Pseudomonadota; Alphaproteobacteria; Hyphomicrobiales; Rhizobiaceae. The record is from RNAcentral.